UUUCAUGUAGUUUUCCUGCACUCUCAUGUGAAUUUGCAUCCGUUGACGUGAGUGAUGUGUUGGGAACAAACAGAUUGAAUAUAACGAAAACAAUUCGCAAGUUCUCUAUAGGUCCAGAUUUAAAACCCACCGGCUCUGAGUUCCACUCAGGACCCGCUUUACAUGACAUUAAGCAUGGGGAUGGUGAUGAAUAUGCUGGUGAUGGCUCUGUUUCACUAACCGCUCGAACUUUUGAAAAGUUUACUCACCAGCAUCCAAUUUUGGUUGUUAAUUUUUAUGCUCCUUGGUGCUACUGGAGCAAUCGCCUGAAACCUUCAUGGGAGAAGGCCGCCAAAAUAAUAAGAGAAAGAUAUGAUCCAGAAAUAGAUGGGCGUAUUCUUUUGGCGAAAGUAGAUUGUACUGAAGAAGGUGACUUGUGUAAGAGGUAU
This is a non-coding RNA of Prunus avium (sweet cherry), 428 nucleotides long. NCBI's taxonomy places the organism in Eukaryota, Viridiplantae, Streptophyta, Magnoliopsida, Rosales, Rosaceae. The record is from RefSeq and is a predicted model, not a curated record.